This 465-nucleotide ribosomal RNA is filed under the name uncultured bacterium. RNAcentral describes it as "partial 16S ribosomal RNA". It matches the Rfam family "Bacterial small subunit ribosomal RNA", at positions 338 to 795 of the family's 1533-position model. The record is from RNAcentral.
CCUACGGGAGGCAGCAGUAGGGAAUCUUCCACAAUGGGCGAAAGCCUGAUGGAGCAACGCCGCGUGGGUGAAGAAGGUCUUCGGAUCGUAAAACCCUGUUGUUAGAGAAGAAAGUGCGUGAGAGUAACGGUUCACGUUUCGACGGUAUCUAACCAGAAAGCCACGGCUAACUACGUGCCAGCAGCUGCGGUAAUACGUAGGUGGCAAGCGUUAUCCGGAUUUAUUGGGCGUAAAGGGAACGCAGGCGGUCUUUUAAGUCUGAUGUGAAAGUCUUCGGCUUAACCGGAGUAGUGCAUUGGAAACUGGGAGACUUGAGUGCGGAAGAGGUAAGUGGAACUCCAUGUGUAGCGGUGAAAUGCGUAGAUAUAUGGAAGAACACCAGUGGCGAAGGCGGCUCUCUGGUCUGUAACUGACGCUGAGGUUCGAAAGCGUGGGUAGCAAACAGGAUUAGAUACCCGUGUAGUC